This 57-nucleotide transfer RNA is filed under the name Mus musculus (house mouse). It matches the Rfam family "tRNA". Rfam says of the family: Transfer RNA (tRNA) molecules are approximately 80 nucleotides in length. Their secondary structure includes four short double-helical elements and three loops (D, anti-codon, and T loops). Further hydrogen bonds mediate the characteristic L-shaped molecular structure. tRNAs have two regions of fundamental functional importance: the anti-codon, which is responsible for specific mRNA codon recognition, and the 3' end, to which the tRNAs corresponding amino acid is attached (by aminoacyl-tRNA synthetases). tRNAs cope with the degeneracy of the genetic code in two manners: having more than one tRNA (with a specific anti-codon) for a particular amino acid; and 'wobble' base-pairing, i.e. permitting non-standard base-pairing at the 3rd anti-codon position. RNAcentral also lists the same sequence under 1 other name. The record is from Rfam by way of RNAcentral. Lineage: Eukaryota; Metazoa; Chordata; Mammalia; Rodentia; Muridae.
GAACACAUGGCUCAGUUGGUAGAGCAUUUGUUUUGCAAGCAUAGGGGUCUGAGUUCA